RNAcentral lists this ribosomal RNA (466 nucleotides) under uncultured bacterium. RNAcentral describes it as "partial 16S ribosomal RNA". It matches the Rfam family "Bacterial small subunit ribosomal RNA", at positions 28 to 507 of the family's 1533-position model. The record is from RNAcentral.
GACGAACGCUGGCGGCGUGCUUAAUACAUGCAAGUCGAACGGUAAGGCUCCAGCUUUCUGGGGUUCACGAUUGGCGAACGGGUGAGUAACACGUGUGUGACCUGCCCUUCUCUUCGGGAUAAGCCUGGGAAACUGGGUCUAAUACCGCAUAGGAUCUUUGGGAGGAUACUGUUGUGGAGAGUUUUUUCGGUGUGGGAUGGGCCCUCGGCCUAUCUGCUUGGUGGUGGGUUAAUGGCCUACCAACGCGGCGCCGGGUAGCCGGCCUGGGAGGGUGGACGGCCACCUUGGGACUAAGACACGGACCAGACGGCUACGGGCGGCAGCGGUGGGGAAUAUUGCGCAAUGGGCGGGCGCCUGAUGCAGCGACGCCGGGUGGGGGAUGCCGACCUUCGGGUUGUAAACUCCUUUGUCCGUAGCCGAGGGGUUUCUGACGGUAGCUGGAGAAGAAGCCCCGGCUAACUACGUG